AGUCGCCUCAAAACGCGCCAGAGUCGACUCGGGGCAGAUUGGGGUCGACUCAUGCCUCAGAGGGGUCGACUCAUGAGGUUGGGGGUCUACUCUCUCUGAGAGUUCAGAAAAUGAAGUUUUGCGGCUCUUGGUCGGGGUCGACUCAUGAGGUUGGGGUUGACUCAUGCUUCAGUGAAAUUUUUAGUGAAGGAGGAUUUUGACUCUUUCUCGCACCUUGACCCUAUAGCAGUGGCUUAAGGUGUGUGUGCGAUGCUUUUGCAUCAUAAUACAUAUAAGGAGAAGAUUAAUUGAUAGGAAAAAGAGAAAAAGGAAAGGAUUUAAAAAAAGGGGG
This 331-nucleotide long non-coding RNA is filed under the name Phoenix dactylifera (date palm). RNAcentral describes it as "long non-coding RNA (PDAC_LNC007343)". Lineage: Eukaryota; Viridiplantae; Streptophyta; Magnoliopsida; Arecales; Arecaceae. The record is from RNAcentral.